This 560-nucleotide ribosomal RNA is filed under the name uncultured Ascomycota. Its description in RNAcentral is "SSU rRNA". It matches the Rfam family "Eukaryotic small subunit ribosomal RNA", at positions 1 to 565 of the family's 1831-position model. The record is from RNAcentral. Lineage: Eukaryota; Fungi; Ascomycota.
GAAUUUCCCCCUUCCAGUAGUCAUAUGCCUUGUCUCAAAGAUUAAGCCAUGCAUGUCUAAGUAUAAGCAACCUAUACGGUGAAACUGCGAAGGGCUCAUUAAAUCAGUUAUCGUUUAUUUGAUAGUACCUUACUACAUGGAUAACCGUGGUAAUUCUAGAGCUAAUACAUGCUAAAAACCUCGACUUCGGAAGGGGUGUAUUUAUUAGAUAAAAAACCAAUGCCCUUCGGGGCUCCUUGGUGAAUCAUAAUAACUUAACGAAUCGCAUGGCCUUGCGCCGGCGAUGGUUCAUUCAAAUUUCUGCCCUAUCAACUUUCGAUGGUAGGAUAGUGGCCUACCAUGGUAUCAACGGGUAACGGGGAAUUAGGGUUCGACUCCGGAGAGGGAGCCUGAGAAACGGCUACCACAUCCAAGGAAGGCAGCAGGCGCGCAAAUUACCCAAUCCCCGACACGGGGAGGUAGUGACAAUAAAUACUGAUACAGGGCUCUUUUGGGUCUUGUAAUUGGAAUGAGUACAAUUUAAAUCCCUUAACGAGGAACAAUUGGAGGGCAAGUCUGGU